GCGGUGAGGUUUCCCAUGACGCGGCCUAACAAUGGAGUCUUGCACAGUCGAUAGCGAUACUCCAACUUCAACGGUGCAGCACCCGUCCUUCACUCCUGGGUGAAGCAGAAACCAGAGAGACCAGCUCCAAAGAAGAGAUGUUCUCCCACCAAG
This is a long non-coding RNA of Branchiostoma belcheri (Belcher's lancelet), 153 nucleotides long. RefSeq lists it as uncharacterized. The record is from RefSeq and is a predicted model, not a curated record. The transcript has 2 exons. NCBI's taxonomy places the organism in Eukaryota, Metazoa, Chordata, Leptocardii, Amphioxiformes, Branchiostomatidae.